CCGACUAUCGACUUAAGACCCUACCCAACAUGACUCUGACCUGAUACCUCGACUUCUAACCCGAUCCCCAACCCCAACUCGAGACCUCAACUCCUGACCCAAAACCUAGGACCCAAGACCCAAUUUUUAAUUCCGACUCUUGAUCCUGAUCUCGAAUUGAGACUCGACUAUUGCUCCUAAUCCCAACUCCCAAUCCCGAUCAUGACUACCAACUCAUGAUCCUGACCCCGACCC
RNAcentral lists this long non-coding RNA (234 nucleotides) under Capsicum annuum. RNAcentral's name for it is "long non-coding RNA (CANN_LNC002904)". The record is from RNAcentral. Lineage: Eukaryota; Viridiplantae; Streptophyta; Magnoliopsida; Solanales; Solanaceae.